RNAcentral lists this microRNA (23 nucleotides) under Lepisosteus oculatus (spotted gar). Its description in RNAcentral is "Loc-Mir-17-P4d_5p (mature (guide))". Lineage: Eukaryota; Metazoa; Chordata; Actinopteri; Semionotiformes; Lepisosteidae. RNAcentral also lists the same sequence under 2 other names. The record is from RNAcentral.
CAAAGUGCUGUUUGUGCAGGUAG